Molecule: long non-coding RNA, 1091 nt
Filed under: Zonotrichia albicollis (white-throated sparrow)
Lineage: Eukaryota; Metazoa; Chordata; Aves; Passeriformes; Passerellidae
Description: lncRNA (ENSZALG00000007665.1)
Source: RNAcentral
AUAUUUCAUAUUAUAUAUUUCAUAUUUUCUCUAUUUCUAUUUUAUAUUUUCUUUUCCCUAUUUUCUUCCCUAUUUUCCAUUUUCUUUCCUAUUUUCCAUUUUCUUUAUUUUAUUUUUCUCAUUCCCAUGAAUUAUCAUGAUCACAGUGGAAUUCUGUUUGCUGCUUCCAAGGAAAACAUUCUCUCAUGCCUUCUGAGAAAGUAUUUCAGACAAUCUGCAUUUUAUUUUUCAUCUGUAUUUCCUCCUGAAAUCCCACCCUCUAGAAAUUAGAGGAUAGAAUUUUCUAUUUUCUAUCUUCUCUAUUUCUAUUUUCUAUUUCCUAUUUUCUCUAUUUUUAUUUCCUAUUUUCUAUUUUCUCUUUUUCUAUUUCCUAUUUUUUUUUCUUUCCUACUUCCCCAUUGUUUAUUUUAUUUUUGUCAUUCCCAUGCAUUAUCAUCACAGUCAAAUUCUGUUGGUUGCUUCCAAGCAAACCAAGGAAAACAUUCUCUCACUCUCCUCAUACCUUCUGAGAAGGUAUUUCAGACUAUCUACAUUUUAUUUUUCAUUUGUAUUUCCUCCUGAAAUCCUACCCUCUAGAAAUUAGAGGAUAGAAUUUUCUCUAUUUCUAUUUCAUAUUUCCUAUUUUCUGUAUUUCCUAUUUUCUCUAUUUCCUAUUUUCCCUUUUAUUAAUUUUAUUUUCCUCAUUCCCAUCCAUUAUCAUCACAGUGGAAUUCUGUUGGCUGCCUCCAAGGAAAGGAAGGAAAACAUUCUCUCACUCCAAUAUCUUCCGAGAAGCUCAACUGCAGGAAAGACAUUCUGUGCUGUUCUGGUGAGCCAGCAAAGGCCUCCGGAUGAUAAGGAAAGCCCCGUAUCUCUCCUGAGGAAGACACCAAGGUUGUCACCAUGGAGAUGUGAUGAAGGAGGGAAAGUUGGAAGAUACAGACUCUAACUGGCUCAUAGAAUGAUGGGGCUCCUUGGUCACCCACUGAGAACUUUUUUGUAACCAAUGGGCAGUGAAUGUGUACGUUGAGUGAAUAUAAAUAUCUUGAAAAAGUAUAAAAGCAUCAUGUUGCUGUAAUAAAUCUCUCUUGCACCCUUCUGAUGGAGUCGUG